CGUAGGGUGCGAGCGUUAAUCGGAAUUACUGGGCGUAAAGCGUGCGCAGGCGGUUUUGUAAGACAGGCGUGAAAUCCCCCGGGCUCAACCUGGGAACUGCGCUUGUGACUGCAAGGCUAGAGUACGGCAGAGGGGGGUGGAAUUCCACGUGUAGCAGUGAAAUGCGUAGAGAUGUGGAGGAACACCAAUGGCGAAGGCAGCCCCCUGGGUCGAUACUGACGCUCAUGCACGAAAGCGUGGGUAGCAAACAGGAUUAGAUACCCUGGUAGUCCACGCCCUAAACGAUGUCAACUAGGUGUUGGGUGGGUAAAACCAUUUAGUACCGGAGCUAACGCGUGAAGUUGACCGCCUGGGGAGUGCGGCCGCAAGGUUA
RNAcentral lists this ribosomal RNA (373 nucleotides) under uncultured organism. RNAcentral describes it as "bacterial SSU rRNA". It matches the Rfam family "Bacterial small subunit ribosomal RNA", at positions 526 to 896 of the family's 1533-position model. The record is from RNAcentral.